Molecule: ribosomal RNA, 774 nt
Filed under: uncultured Neocallimastigales
Lineage: Eukaryota; Fungi; Neocallimastigomycota; Neocallimastigomycetes; Neocallimastigales
Description: partial large subunit ribosomal RNA
Rfam family: Eukaryotic large subunit ribosomal RNA
Source: RNAcentral
UAUGUGAUCGUCUCUCGCAUAUCAAUAAGCGGAGGAAAAGAAACUAACAAGGAUUCCCCUAGUAACGGCGAGUGAAGCGGGAAGAGCUCAAAUUUGAAAUCUUAAAGGGUUUCCCUUUACGAAUUGUAGUUUAAAGAAGUGUUUUCUGUUGAGGUUUUGGUAAAAGUUCUUUGGAAUAGGACAUCAUAGAGGGUGAGAAUCCCGUAUUUGACCUUUACUUUCAACUUUGUGAUACACUUUCAAAGAGUCGGAUUGUUUGGGAAUGCAGUCCAAAAUGGGUGGUAAAUUUCAUCUAAAGCUAAAUAUUGGCGAGAGACCGAUAGCGAACAAGUACCGUGAGGGAAAGAUGAAAAGAACUUUGGAAAGAGAGUUAAACAGUACGUGAAAUUGUCAAAAGGGAAGCGUUUGACACCAGUGUUGUUUUUCUGAAAAUCAAUUAAAGAACUGUUUAUGCUAAGCUGUUUAGACUUUAUCAGCUAUCUGUUUAGUUUUGAGCUUUUCUUUAAUGCACUUUUCAGUUAACAAGUCAACAUCAAUUUCUUUUGCUGUAAAAAAGCUUGAGGAAGGUGGCUUGAGAUUCGUCUUAAGUGUUUAUAGCCUCUUGCCUAUGCAGUCGGAGAGAUUGAGGUCUGCAGCGUAGAUCCUUCGGGGCUAAAUGCAUUUGUGCUAAGUUAUAGCAUUUUAUAGACAACUUGUUGACUAUGAUUUGUCUUGUAGCUUACUCGCUUAUGUUAUUUUACCUACGCUUAGGAUGUUGAGCGCAUGUCUCUCUCU